UGAGCAACUAUGAAUUCUAAUCCAUGUGAUAUCACCUAUGUGAUAACUCAACCAAUUACUAUGGCACUGAGUACUCCCCCCAUUAGGGAAAUAUUAUGCAAUUAAUAUGCACUACAUAUACAUGUAAUGCCUCCAAAGGAGUCAUUUCUUCCCAGCAUCCCAUCUAGACCUUAGAGCCAGGAGCUGCUUUAGUGCUAAAAAAAAAAAAAACCUUAUUGAAGAAGUCAUAUGACAUAGUUGAAAGAAUAUUGGAUCUAGAGUCAAAAGUUGAACUGGAUUGAAUUUCAGCUCUAUCACAUUCUUAGCUUAUGUGGCCUUGAAAAGACCCUUAACCUCCCCAGACCCUCAGUUUUUUAAUCUGUAGAAGGGGUCUUAGAAUAAAUGAGAUGGCUAGACUAGAUGAUGCUUUCCUCCUUUGAGGCCUUUGAUUCUAAGCUAAAUUUAAAAGCAAAAGACCUGGUUGAAAUCCUCGUUCUGUUACUUAUCAUCUGUGAUAGAGAGAUUUGCAAGAAGUGUCAAAUAUUGAACCUAAGCUGUUGGAUUCCAAAGCCAGGAUUCUAAGUGAGUAUGGACCAAUCUACCUAACUACCCUCUGAAUUUAGACUGAGUCUCUAAUUUAUGUAUUUCCUAAUGUACUCAAAUCGUCUCUCCAUUUUUUUUUUCAGAUGAAAAAACUGAGACAUUAAAGGAGGGAGAAAGCAGGAGAUUUCUCAUGCCACCCUUAUGCUAGGAGCUUUAGAAGAUCAAGAUAAUAGCCACAGCCUUACUGUUUUCUCAAGGAAAAGCAGGCAUGGGGACCAAGGAGAGCCCAGCAAGAUCUUGAAUGUGCCUCUCCCCUUUCCCUGGGUUUGACACAGGCAACUUUCCUCUGGCUUAGAACCAAAGCAAAGCACAAAUGAACUCCACUGUAAGAAGUCAAGAUCUAGAAAAACACAUUUACUAAAUAGAUGAUUGUUCUCAUGAUGAAAGGAAGUUUUAUUUCACAAAAGAAGACAUCACCCAG
This 1003-nucleotide long non-coding RNA is filed under the name Monodelphis domestica (gray short-tailed opossum). RNAcentral describes it as "lncRNA (ENSMODG00000037979.1)". Lineage: Eukaryota; Metazoa; Chordata; Mammalia; Didelphimorphia; Didelphidae. The record is from RNAcentral.